GCUCUUUCUUUCAGUCCACACCUGCUGUAGCUGCUAACCACCACCUCCGCCAUCUUCUCUCCCUCAGGCCCUGGCGCGAUCACUAUCAAUCACAUACCUCCAGACCCAGACCCACCAAGAGGCCUGGACCUCGUGCUCCUGCCCGCUGACAGAGCCCUAGAGACGGAGAAGAAGGUUCGAGUGCAUAUGAAGAUGUGUCAGUCCUGAUCGUUAUCUGUCUAUGCUGGGUAUAAGUUCUGGUCCAGCAAAUGAGACGUGAACUCCAGGCCCUGUACUCUGUAAGCAUAUGAUCUUGAUCUUUACCCUUGGAGUGGAAACAGCCCUCUCCAUAGUGUUUAACCAGCCCUUACGCAGACUCUGCUGCAAGAUGACAUUACCAGAAAGGACACCAUGCUCUGAGCAGUUAGAGGAUGAGGAGGAGACAGAAGUGACAGUGGGAGAUGAAGAGGAGCAGGAUGAUGAUAACUCCUCAGCUUCCUACUACUCAGCCAUUAGCUCUCUUAGUGACUGGGAUGACCUGCCAAAGGAGAACGGGGUAGACGGAGGGCCUCAAACCCAGGUCUCUACUCCUCGAACCACCCCACCACCCCGGGUCAGAGAGUCUCCUCUCUCCCCUGUGCCUUUUCCAGGGGCUCAAACCCAGGUUGCCUGCCCUGGAACCACCCCAGCACCUCAAGACAGAGAUGCGGUCCUCUCAACUAAGCCCUCCUUUUGGCAUCAAACCCAGGUCUCCCCUCUUUGAACCACCCCACUACACCGGGACAGAGAUGCUGCCCCUUCUACUUCUCUUCCUUUUGGGUCUCAAACCCAAGUUGCUUCUACUCAAACCACCCUACUGCCCCAAAUCAGUGUGUUUCUUUUCCCACCUGUACCUUUUCCAGGGGCUCUAACCCAGGUCCCCUCCCCUGGAACAACCCCACUACCCCUGGGUACAAAGGCUGUACAUUGUCCAGCCCACCAACAGACCAAGGGGGGUGCAAAUCCAGCUAGAGAGGCUUCCAGCUCACCUACUCUGCAUCUCCCCUGCAGGGCCAGUGUGUCUGUGUCUGUCAGUGGGACUCAAAGUAGCCUGGUGGGCCGCCCACACCUGCCUCUCUGGUUCACCGUCAGGGCAAACCUCCUGCCCAGAAAAGGCCUGCAGGGAGGGCCAGAGGGAGACAGAGAGACAAGGGACAUCCAGGAGACAGGCAGAGAGACCAGAGAUAACCAGGAAACUAGUCAGGUGCCAACACAGGAGAAGAGAUGGCAGAGACAUAAGAGACCGGAGGAGUGUCAGGAGAGACAGAUAAGACA
Long non-coding RNA from Hypomesus transpacificus, 1293 nucleotides. RefSeq lists it as uncharacterized. The transcript is spliced from 3 exons. NCBI's taxonomy places the organism in Eukaryota, Metazoa, Chordata, Actinopteri, Osmeriformes, Osmeridae. The record is from RefSeq and is a predicted model, not a curated record.